RNAcentral lists this ribosomal RNA (856 nucleotides) under gamma proteobacterium WD82. RNAcentral describes it as "bacterial SSU rRNA". It matches the Rfam family "Bacterial small subunit ribosomal RNA", at positions 395 to 1243 of the family's 1533-position model. Lineage: Bacteria; Pseudomonadati; Pseudomonadota; Gammaproteobacteria. The record is from RNAcentral.
UGCCGCGUGUGUGAAGAAGGCCUUUUGGUUGUAAAGCACUUUAAGCGAGGAGGAGGCUACCGAGAUUAAUACUCUUGGAUAGUGGACGUUACUCGCAGAAUAAGCACCGGCUAACUCUGUGCCAGCAGCCGCGGUAAUACAGAGGGUGCGAGCGUUAAUCGGAUUUACUGGGCGUAAAGCGUGCGUAGGCGGCUUUUUAAGUCGGAUGUGAAAUCCCCGAGCUUAACUUGGGAAUUGCAUUCGAUACUGGGAAGCUAGAGUAUGGGAGAGGAUGGUAGAAUUCCAGGUGUAGCGGUGAAAUGCGUAGAGAUCUGGAGGAAUACCGAUGGCGAAGGCAGCCAUCUGGCCUAAUACUGACGCUGAGGUACGAAAGCAUGGGGAGCAAACAGGAUUAGAUACCCUGGUAGUCCAUGCCGUAAACGAUGUCUACUAGCCGUUGGGGCCUUUGAGGCUUUAGUGGCGCAGCUAACGCGAUAAGUAGACCGCCUGGGGAGUACGGUCGCAAGACUAAAACUCAAAUGAAUUGACGGGGGCCCGCACAAGCGGUGGAGCAUGUGGUUUAAUUCGAUGCAACGCGAAGAACCUUACCUGGUCUUGACAUAGUAAGAACUUUCCAGAGAUGGAUUGGUGCCUUCGGGAACUUACAUACAGGUGCUGCAUGGCUGUCGUCAGCUCGUGUCGUGAGAUGUUGGGUUAAGUCCCGCAACGAGCGCAACCCUUUUCCUUAUUUGCCAGCACUUCGGGUGGGAACUUUAAGGAUACUGCCAGUGACAAACUGGAGGAAGGCGGGGACGACNUCAAGUCAUCAUGGCCCUUACGACCAGGGCUACACACGUGCUACAAUGGUCGGUACAAA